AGCAGUGUACCAUAGUGGUAAGGCACAGGGCUCAUAACCGAAAGGUUGCUGGUUCGAUUCUAGGGCGCUGCUG
Molecule: non-coding RNA, 73 nt
Organism: Megalops atlanticus (tarpon)
Lineage: Eukaryota; Metazoa; Chordata; Actinopteri; Elopiformes; Megalopidae
Source: the annotation of a GenBank genome assembly